Molecule: ribosomal RNA, 260 nt
Filed under: uncultured archaeon
Lineage: Archaea
Description: partial 16S ribosomal RNA
Rfam family: Archaeal small subunit ribosomal RNA
Source: RNAcentral
AGGGUGUAAACGCUGCGGGCUUGGUGUUGGGGUCCUUUGAGGGCGCCCAGUGCCGGAGAGAAGUUGUUAAGCCUGCUGCUUGGGGAGUACGUCCGCAAGGAUGAAACUUAAAGGAAUUGGCGGGGGAGCACCGCAACGGGAGGAGCGUGCGGUUCAAUUGGAUUCAACGCCGGGAAUCUCACCGGAUAAGACAGCUGAAUGAUAGUCGGGAUGAAGACUCUACUUGACUAGCUGAGAGGAGGUGCAUGGCGUAGUCGUGU